RNAcentral lists this small RNA (127 nucleotides) under Marmota monax (woodchuck). Lineage: Eukaryota; Metazoa; Chordata; Mammalia; Rodentia; Sciuridae. The record is from RNAcentral.
GCCGGGCGUGGUGAUGCACGCCUGUCAUCCCAGCAGCUCAGGAGGCUGAGGCAGGGGGAUUGCAAGUUCAAAGCCAGCUUCAGCAAUUUAGCAAGACCCUAAGCAACUCAGUGAGACCCUGUCUCUA